RNAcentral lists this ribosomal RNA (336 nucleotides) under uncultured soil bacterium. RNAcentral's name for it is "bacterial SSU rRNA". It matches the Rfam family "Bacterial small subunit ribosomal RNA", at positions 26 to 375 of the family's 1533-position model. The record is from RNAcentral.
AGAUUGAACGCUGGCGGCAUGCCUAACACAUGCAAGUCGAACGGGAGUAGCAAUACUCUAGUGGCGGACGGGUGAGGAAUACGUAGGAAUUUGCCCUUAAGUGGGGGAUAACCCGGGGAAACCCGGAUUAAUACCGCAUGACCUCGAAAGAGCAAAGUGGGGAUCGCAAGACCUCACGCUUUUGGAGAAGCCUACGUCGGAUUAGCUAGUUGGUGAGGUAAUGGCUCACCAAGGCGACGAUCCGUAACUGGUCUGAGAGGAUGAUCAGUCACACCGGAACUGAGACACGGUCCGGACUCCGUACGGGAGGCAGCAGUGGGGAAUAUGGACAAUGGG